Molecule: ribosomal RNA, 399 nt
Filed under: Triticum aestivum (bread wheat)
Lineage: Eukaryota; Viridiplantae; Streptophyta; Magnoliopsida; Poales; Poaceae
Description: partial small subunit ribosomal RNA
Source: RNAcentral
AUGGAUGAGGUCACAAGGGAUAUACAAGGAGAUAUCCCAUGGUGUAUGCUCUUUGCGGAUGAUGUGGUGCUAGUUGACGAUAGUCGGACGGGGGUAAAUAGGAAGUUAGAGUUAUGGAGACAAACCUUGGAAUCGAAAGGGUUUAGGCUUAGUAGAACUAAAACCGAGUACAUGAUGUGCGGUUUCUGUACUACUAGGUGUGAGGAGGAGGUUAGCCUUGAUGGCCAGGUGGUACCUCAGAAGGACACCUUUCGGUAUUUGGGGUCAAUGCUGCAGGAGGAUGGGGGUAUUGAUGAAGAUGUGAACAAUCGAAUCAAAGCCGGAUGGAUGAAGUGGCGCCAAGCUUCUGGCAUUCUCUGUGACAAGAGAGUGCCACAAAAGCUAAAAGGCAAGUUCUAG